UUCCCAGCUGCCACCACGAAGCACUGAACCUUAAAACAGAAAGAGAAAGCCAAAAUGACAUAGCUGGGCUCAAGUCCACAGGUAAAACCUUCUCCAGCUCAGGAAAGGGACUGAAGCAGAAGCCUUUGGUGCCGCCUGGGAGCUAGAAACCCGAGGAGCGCUGGACCCGAAGUCCUCACCCAUCAUCAGGGCUUCCCGAAGAGACUGCCCGGAAGGCAGAGCAGCCGCGGGUAAACAGAUGAGAGCUGAGCACAUUCCAGGGAGGAAGAGAGUAUCACAGGAGGUUGAUGGGUACAGUGGGCUUAGGGGCUCCGGGCGCAGUCAGGGUGAAACGCGCAGCAGCUGUCACAGAGGUUCGCCAGCUCGACCCCUCCCUGCCACCCCGCCACACACCCUCAGCUGCACAGCCACCCAGAGAGAGAAAAGCCUGGCCAAAUUGUACUUUUAAAAAACUUCAUAACUUUGGUGCAUUCACCUGGAAUUAACUUUGGUGUAAGGAGUGAGUGCUCCAGGCUCUGUUCCAAGCUAGGAGAUUCCUCACAACUACUCCAGAGGUCUGUCCAGUGAAGACCUUCAUUUCAUAGAUGAGGAUCCAGGAGAUGGAGCUGACCAAGGGCUGGUGAAAUGCCUGACGGAGGGAUGAUCACAUGGCCUCAUCCAAGUCAAGGGGAUCCAGGCCCUGGACUUUUAGGAAGAGGAGCUCUAUUUCUUCUGUUGACCCAGGUCACGCCUGAGCAGGUGAGCAUGUCCCUGUUGCAGCCGCCUGCCCACCGUGGGGAAGAGGAGGUGAUCAGCUGAGCCCAGCCCAGACCGCAGAACCACAAGCAAAUACAUUGUCGGGUGUGUCUUACAUUUCAGGGUGGUUUGUGUUUCAGCAAUAAAUAUUUGAUAAAAAAAUAAAAUGUAAAAUGUGAUUUAAUUUAAAA
Molecule: long non-coding RNA, 926 nt
Organism: Manis pentadactyla (Chinese pangolin)
Lineage: Eukaryota; Metazoa; Chordata; Mammalia; Pholidota; Manidae
Exons: 4
Source: RefSeq, a predicted model, not a curated record